Molecule: ribosomal RNA, 378 nt
Filed under: uncultured organism
Description: partial 16S ribosomal RNA
Rfam family: Bacterial small subunit ribosomal RNA
Source: RNAcentral
CGGGGGGGGGGCAAGCGUUGUUCGGAAUUACUGGGGCGUAAAGGGCGCGCAGGCGGGCGGGACAGGUCUCUCGUGAAAUCCCACGGGCUCAACCGUGGAAUUGCGGGAGAUACUUCCCGUCUUGAGUUCGGGAGAGGAGUGUGGAAUUCCCAGUGUAGCGGUGAAAUGCGUAGAUAUUGGGAGGAGCACCGGUGGCGAAGGCGGCACUCUGGACCGAUACUGACGCUGAGGCGCGAAAGCUAGGGGAGCAAACGGGAUUAGAUACCCCGGUAGUCCUAGCUGUAAACGCUGAGCACUUGGUGUAGCGGGUAUCGACCCCUGCUGUGCCGAAGCUAACGCAUUAAGUGCUCCGCCUGGGGAGUACGGUCGCAAAGGCUG